Molecule: non-coding RNA, 383 nt
Organism: Oscillatoriales cyanobacterium
Lineage: Bacteria; Bacillati; Cyanobacteriota; Cyanophyceae; Oscillatoriales
Rfam family: transfer-messenger RNA
About the family: Bacterial tmRNA, also known as 10Sa RNA or SsrA, is named for its dual tRNA and mRNA-like properties. Its role is to liberate the mRNA from a stalled ribosome.
Source: Rfam
GGGGCUGUAACGGUUUCGACGUUUUGGCGAACGUUACAUCAUGACGCAGGUCGAGAGUGAGCACCUCUCGUGAAUCCAGGCUCAAAAAAAUAGAUGCAAACAACAUCGUACCUUUUGCUCGUAAGCAAGCACUCGUUGCUGCCUAAAUACCUCUAACGGUUCGAGCGUCUGUCAUUUGACUCCGUUAAGGAUGGCGGACAAACCCCAACGGAUGCGCUAGACCACCACCUCUGGUUGGUGCCUGGCUAAGACCUUACCAGAGCAUCCUAUCGUCCGGGAUAAUGGACGAUUCCCGCCGUGAGGAUCAGAUCGGCUAAACCUGUGAAUGAGUGAUGUAUUAAUACCCAGAGCGGACACGGGUUCGACUCCCGUCAGCUCCAUUC